This 250-nucleotide ribosomal RNA is filed under the name uncultured prokaryote. RNAcentral's name for it is "partial 16S ribosomal RNA". It matches the Rfam family "Bacterial small subunit ribosomal RNA", at positions 524 to 773 of the family's 1533-position model. The record is from RNAcentral.
UACAUAGGUGGCAAGCGUUAUCCGGAAUUACUGGGUGUAAAGGGAGCGCAGGCGGGAGAGCAAGUCGGCGGUGAAAUGUAUGGGCUUAACCCAUGAACUGCCGUUGAGACUGUCCUUCUUGAGUGGAGUAGAGGCAAGCGGAAUUCCGAGUGUAGCGGUGAAAUGCGUAGAUAUUCGGAGGAACACCAGUGGCGAAGGCGGCUUGCUGGGCUCUAACUGGCGCUGAGGCUCGAAAGUGUGGGGAGCAAAC